GAUGAACGCUAGCUACAGGCUUAACACAUGCAAGUCGAGGGGCAGCAUGAACUUAGCUUGCUAAGUUUGAUGGCGACCGGCGCACGGGUGAGUAACACGGAUCCAACCUGCCGAUGACUCGGGGAUAGCCUUUCGAAAGAAAGAUUAAUACCCGAUGGCAUAGUUCUUCCGCAUGGUAGAACUAUUAAAGAAUUUCGGUCAUCGAUGGGGAUGCGUUCCAUUAGGUUGUUGGCGGGGUAACGGCCCACCAAGCCUUCGAUGGAUAGGGGUUCUGAGAGGAAGGUCCCCCACAUUGGAACUGAGACACGGUCCAAACUCCUACGGGAGGCAGCAGUGAGGAAUAUUGGUCAAUGGACGAGAGUCUGAACCAGCCAAGUAGCGUGAAGGAUGACUGCCCUAUGGGUUGUAAACUUCUUUUAUACGGGAAUAAAGUGAGGCACGUGUGCCUUUUUGUAUGUACCGUAUGAAUAAGGAUCGGCUAACUCCGUG
RNAcentral lists this ribosomal RNA (489 nucleotides) under uncultured bacterium. Its description in RNAcentral is "partial 16S ribosomal RNA". It matches the Rfam family "Bacterial small subunit ribosomal RNA", at positions 28 to 507 of the family's 1533-position model. The record is from RNAcentral.